This 514-nucleotide ribosomal RNA is filed under the name uncultured bacterium. RNAcentral describes it as "partial 16S ribosomal RNA". It matches the Rfam family "Bacterial small subunit ribosomal RNA", at positions 28 to 523 of the family's 1533-position model. The record is from RNAcentral.
GAUGAACGCUGGCGGCGUGCCUAAUACAUGCAAGUCGAGCGAACAGAUGAGAAGCUUGCUUCUCUGAUGUUAGCGGCGGACGGGUGAGUAACACGUGGGUAACCUACCUAUAAGACUGGGAUAACUCCGGGAAACCGGGGCUAACACCGGAUAAUAUUUUGAACCGCAUGGUUCAAUAGUGAAAGACGGUUUCGGCUGUCACUUAUAGAUGGACCCGCGCCGUAUUAGCUAGUUGGUAAGGUAACGGCUUACCAAGGCGACGAUACGUAGCCGACCUGAGAGGGGGAUCAGCCACACUGGAACGGAGACACAGUCCAGACUCCUACGGGAGGCAGCAGUAGUGAAUCUUCCGCAAUGGGCGAAAGCCUGACGGAGCAACGCCGCGUGAGUGAUGAAGGUCUUCGGAUCGUAAAACUCUGUUGUUAGGGAAGAACAAAUUUGUUAGUAACUGAACAAGUCUUGACGGUACCUAACCAGAAAGCCACGGCUAACUACGUGCCAGCCGCCGCAAUAA